Gasterosteus aculeatus aculeatus (three-spined stickleback) is the source of this 1957-nucleotide long non-coding RNA. Lineage: Eukaryota; Metazoa; Chordata; Actinopteri; Perciformes; Gasterosteidae. The record is from Ensembl.
CUGUGAGGUGCGUCAGUUCCGGGCGACGGGACGCGUGCCGCUCUGCGCGUUAACCUCUUGGUUUACUGCAUGCUCAAAACAUCACAGCAUUGUUUAUUAAGGCUGCUCACCUCGCAUUUAUCUUUUUAUUUACAGGCCAAAGAAAAAGCCCCUCAAAGCGUUUUAACACAAAGACGGGAAAUUUGUGCAAUAGAACUAGGCAUGUUUUUGUAAAUGAGAGUAGAGUUUUUAAAAACCAUUUUAAUUCUUUAAGGGAGCAAAGAUGUCUCAUAAAAGACCUUUGCCAGGCUCAGGACAAAAGGGAAGUCUGUUAUUAUUUUUAAAGAACCAGCCAAGUCAUAAAAGACAGACCGACACUGUCAGACCAAAUUGUAGAAACAACAGGGCAACAGACAGAGGAGCAACACACAGGAGAAACUGACCAACAGUGCAGAUGGAAGAAGACCCAGAGGGACAGAGGAGACUCCCCCAAUCCAACAACCGGGCCAGAAGAGCAACAUAUAGAACCCUCUUUAAAGGUGCGACCGAUGUAGUGCGCCACAUACAAACUAAAGGCCACCAAGAAAAGCAACAAGCUCUUCAGUCCACAGCCACAAUAUACAAUGUUGGAGGGUUUUCUGCACAAGAGGUCAAGACAAGAAGGGCUGAGGUCCAAAUGACAGCUGGGUUGGUGGUGCAUGAUAUUCCUCUAGCCUUUGCAGACCACCUGGGGCCUCUCCUUAAAGUUUGUUUUGGAGAUUCUAAGACGGCGCAGGACUACAGGUGUGCCAGGACUAAAUCAUCCUGCAUAGUUAAUGAAGCUCUGGCGCCUUAUUUCACCAAAGAGCUUGUGAAGGAGCUCAAAAACGGCGCAUGCACCCUUGUUACGGAUGGGUCAAAUGACACGGGUAUUUCCCAAACUAUUUAUCUCCUACAAAACAUUUGCUUUGUGUAAACAUCAAACAUGUACAUUUGUAUAAUUCUAACUCGUCAUUAUGGGAGCGCAAAAGAUGAACCCGCUCACUGUCUGGGUCUUCAUGGGAGGCAAAGUUGUCGACCAAUGUUUGGGCAUGUGUACAACAAGUGGGAAGGUAUGUGGAACAGCAAGCGAGAUCUUCGCCAUUAUUAAGUCCACCCUAGAGGAGCAUUGUAUCCCUUGGGAGAACUGCGUGGCUAUCAAGUCUAGAAGGCCCCACAAGUCAUGAGCAGAUGAACAUGAAUCAGAAUAAGUUCAGGCAUACCACCCAAAUCUACUGGAAUGCAUGAAAUAACAUCUACUUAAACCAACAUGUCCUGGGGGUGGACCAUCAGCUGUGUCUGCUUCACAGAAUGUAACCAAUGUUGUCCAUCUCCAGUAGGCCGCCCCUAUCAACAUUUUUGGGCCCCACAAACCACCAGAAUGCAGCGUACAACAUGGGUACUACGCCAAAUGAAUGAUCAACAAAAUGGUGGUCACCCCCGACAAGAUCUCCCAAGGUUUUUUGAAAAGUUGGCAGCUCUGUAAAUGCCAGUGUCCUAGAACAGGAGUUGUGUUGAUCAGCAGGAUGGGGUCGCUGCUGUUUUGUGUCUCCAUGCACUCGUCUCCGCUGAAGCUCCACCUCCAGGGAAGCUUCGUCUCCGCGGCGUUCUCCUGACAGCCUUUAUCUCCCCCCCUGGAAGCGUUGUCCUACCACACUGCGCUGUGUAGGACUGCGUGCGGUCUGUCUGCAGCUUGGUGUGCCGAAUAUCGGUCGCCACGCCUGGCAUCCCCGCUUCAUACCGGGCGCCAGAUCAGUUCCUUUUUAAACCCUCAUCACGUCUGUGUUUUAACCAGGGCUGUGUCCCUUUUGUAUUGUUGGCUGGAUGUUAUUUUAUUGUAAUUUUGUAAAUUGUUUUUGUCUUUUUAGUUGCUGGAGCCUGGUGGUGCUGGUGGCCGGGUGGUGGUGUCCUACCCAUUAGUUUGCGGUGUCCUGGGAAGUGGGUUCCUCACUACGUCGAG